CAGUAGCCGCGGGAAUACGUAGGGUGCAAGCGUUAAUCGGAAUUACUGGGCGUAAAGCGUGCGCAGGCGGUUCUAUAAGACAGAUGUGAAAUCCCCGGGCUCAACCUGGGAACUGCAUUUGUGACUGUAGAGCUGGAGUGCGGCAGAGGGGGAUGGAAUUCCGCGUGUAGCAGUGAAAUGCGUAGAUAUGCGGAGGAACACCGAUGGCGAAGGCAAUCCCCUGGGCCUGCACUGACGCUCAUGCACGAAAGCGUGGGGAGCAAACAGGAUUAGAGACCCCAGUAGUCCCUGUCUCUUAUAC
RNAcentral lists this ribosomal RNA (301 nucleotides) under uncultured bacterium. Its description in RNAcentral is "partial 16S ribosomal RNA". It matches the Rfam family "Bacterial small subunit ribosomal RNA", at positions 509 to 807 of the family's 1533-position model. The record is from RNAcentral.